Long non-coding RNA from Rosa chinensis, 793 nucleotides. RefSeq lists it as uncharacterized. NCBI's taxonomy places the organism in Eukaryota, Viridiplantae, Streptophyta, Magnoliopsida, Rosales, Rosaceae. The transcript has 5 exons. The record is from RefSeq and is a predicted model, not a curated record.
GUAAGGCCAUUCAGCAGUGGUUAGUUAUAAUAACUUAGUUUUACUUCCUCAUUUAUUAAGGCUAAUUUUCAAAUUUCUGCUUAUUUAAUCAAUCUGGUAAUUGGUAGUGUUACAUUUGAUCUACUAUAUUACUUUGAUCAUUGUUUUAUGGGCUGGGUGUUGAAUGUUUUAUUUUGUUUUCAGUUCAGAUUUGGGAUUAUAUUCUUUUCAUCUUAUAGGGAUCUUAUAUUAUGGAUGGUUGAAGCUUCUUGAUCCAUAUAAUCUGGCUUCUAAUCCUCUAGAACCAAAUAAAUGCCUGAAUGCACUGUGCAAUUGACAUUUAUUAAUGUAGUGAAAUAGUAUUGUCUACUCAUCCGCCCUUUUCAGAUCAUCCAAGUAUUCUGUACCACUGCCUGGUGGGAUUAUAUUAAGAAUUUUGACUUAGAAAGUGCAGAACUGGGUCAAUGUUAUGGUCUACCAUUGGCUGCUAAAGAGCUCGCAGGAAUCAUUCCCAAACUUAUUUGUAUUUGUGUUAAAUAUAGAUAGCAGAAGAUUAUUUUGACCAUGACUUUCUGAUCCAGCUCCUAGGAUAUUGCCCAAUGCCUGCAUUCCAUGAUGUUAUGUAAUUGACGUACAUUUAGUUGUCAGGAGGUUGUACACAUCCCACAAAGAGGUUGGUUUGACAAAGCGCAUCACAUCUGAUAGCAUCAGAGAGAAGAAUAUAGCGUACACUUCUCAAAAUUAUGAAACUGUAGUUGUAAUCUGAUUAUAGAGAAUACUUCCUGAGCUUCCUAACCAGUAGAAGGUCAAUUGG